This 2903-nucleotide ribosomal RNA is filed under the name Escherichia coli. RNAcentral describes it as "23S ribosomal RNA". It matches the Rfam family "Bacterial large subunit ribosomal RNA". The record is from RNAcentral. Lineage: Bacteria; Pseudomonadati; Pseudomonadota; Gammaproteobacteria; Enterobacterales; Enterobacteriaceae.
GGUUAAGCGACUAAGCGUACACGGUGGAUGCCCUGGCAGUCAGAGGCGAUGAAGGACGUGCUAAUCUGCGAUAAGCGUCGGUGAGGUGAUAUGAACCGUUAUAACCGGCGAUUUCCGAAUGGGGAAACCCAGUGUGUUUCGACACACUAUCAUUAACUGAAUCCAUAGGUUAAUGAGGCGAACCGGGGGAACUGAACAUCUAAGUACCCCGAGGAAAAGAAAUCAACCGAGAUUCCCCCAGUAGCGGCGAGCGAACGGGGAGGAGCCCAGAGCCUGAAUCAGUGUGUGUGUUAGUGGAAGCGUCUGGAAAGGCGUGCGAUACAGGGUGACAGCCCCGUACACAAAAAUGCACAUAUUGUGAGCUCGAUGAGUAGGGCGGGACACGUGGUAUCCUGUCUGAAUAUGGGGGGACCAUCCUCCAAGGCUAAAUACUCCUGACUGACCGAUAGUGAACCAGUACCGUGAGGGAAAGGCGAAAAGAACCCCGGCGAGGGGAGUGAAAAAGAACCUGAAACCGUGUACGUACAAGCAGUGGGAGCCUCUUAAUGGGGUGACUGCGUACCUUUUGUAUAAUGGGUCAGCGACUUAUAUUCUGUAGCAAGGUUAACCGAAUAGGGGAGCCGAAGGGAAACCGAGUCUUAACUGGGCGUUAAGUUGCAGGGUAUAGACCCGAAACCCGGUGAUCUAGCCAUGGGCAGGUUGAAGGUUGGGUAACACUAACUGGAGGACCGAACCGACUAAUGUUGAAAAAUUAGCGGAUGACUUGUGGCUGGGGGUGAAAGGCCAAUCAAACCGGGAGAUAGCUGGUUCUCCCCGAAAGCUAUUUAGGUAGCGCCUCGUGAAUUCAUCUCCGGGGGUAGAGCACUGUUUCGGCAAGGGGGUCAUCCCGACUUACCAACCCGAUGCAAACUGCGAAUACCGGAGAAUGUUAUCACGGGAGACACACGGCGGGUGCUAACGUCCGUCGUGAAGAGGGAAACAACCCAGACCGCCAGCUAAGGUCCCAAAGUCAUGGUUAAGUGGGAAACGAUGUGGGAAGGCCCAGACAGCCAGGAUGUUGGCUUAGAAGCAGCCAUCAUUUAAAGAAAGCGUAAUAGCUCACUGGUCGAGUCGGCCUGCGCGGAAGAUGUAACGGGGCUAAACCAUGCACCGAAGCUGCGGCAGCGACACUAUGUGUUGUUGGGUAGGGGAGCGUUCUGUAAGCCUGUGAAGGUGGCCUGUGAGGGUUGCUGGAGGUAUCAGAAGUGCGAAUGCUGACAUAAGUAACGAUAAAGCGGGUGAAAAGCCCGCUCGCCGGAAGACCAAGGGUUCCUGUCCAACGUUAAUCGGGGCAGGGUGAGUCGACCCCUAAGGCGAGGCCGAAAGGCGUAGUCGAUGGGAAACAGGUUAAUAUUCCUGUACUUGGUGUUACUGCGAAGGGGGGACGGAGAAGGCUAUGUUGGCCGGGCGACGGUUGUCCCGGUUUAAGCGUGUAGGCUGGUUUUCCAGGCAAAUCCGGAAAAUCAAGGCUGAGGCGUGAUGACGAGGCACUACGGUGCUGAAGCAACAAAUGCCCUGCUUCCAGGAAAAGCCUCUAAGCAUCAGGUAACAUCAAAUCGUACCCCAAACCGACACAGGUGGUCAGGUAGAGAAUACCAAGGCGCUUGAGAGAACUCGGGUGAAGGAACUAGGCAAAAUGGUGCCGUAACUUCGGGAGAAGGCACGCUGAUAUGUAGGUGAAGCGACUUGCUCGUGGAGCUGAAAUCAGUCGAAGAUACCAGCUGGCUGCAACUGUUUAUUAAAAACACAGCACUGUGCAAACACGAAAGUGGACGUAUACGGUGUGACGCCUGCCCGGUGCCGGAAGGUUAAUUGAUGGGGUUAGCGGCAACGCGAAGCUCUUGAUCGAAGCCCCGGUAAACGGCGGCCGUAACUAUAACGGUCCUAAGGUAGCGAAAUUCCUUGUCGGGUAAGUUCCGACCUGCACGAAUGGCGUAAUGAUGGCCAGGCUGUCUCCACCCGAGACUCAGUGAAAUUGAACUCGCUGUGAAGAUGCAGUGUACCCGCGGCAAGACGGAAAGACCCCGUGAACCUUUACUAUAGCUUGACACUGAACAUUGAGCCUUGAUGUGUAGGAUAGGUGGGAGGCUUUGAAGUGUGGACGCCAGUCUGCAUGGAGCCGACCUUGAAAUACCACCCUUUAAUGUUUGAUGUUCUAACGUUGGCCCGUAAUCCGGGUUGCGGACAGUGUCUGGUGGGUAGUUUGACUGGGGCGGUCUCCUCCUAAAGAGUAACGGAGGAGCACGAAGGUUGGCUAAUCCUGGUCGGACAUCAGGAGGUUAGUGCAAUGGCAUAAGCCAGCUUGACUGCGAGCGUGACGGCGCGAGCAGGUGCGAAAGCAGGUCAUAGUGAUCCGGUGGUUCUGAAUGGAAGGGCCAUCGCUCAACGGAUAAAAGGUACUCCGGGGAUAACAGGCUGAUACCGCCCAAGAGUUCAUAUCGACGGCGGUGUUUGGCACCUCGAUGUCGGCUCAUCACAUCCUGGGGCUGAAGUAGGUCCCAAGGGUAUGGCUGUUCGCCAUUUAAAGUGGUACGCGAGCUGGGUUUAGAACGUCGUGAGACAGUUCGGUCCCUAUCUGCCGUGGGCGCUGGAGAACUGAGGGGGGCUGCUCCUAGUACGAGAGGACCGGAGUGGACGCAUCACUGGUGUUCGGGUUGUCAUGCCAAUGGCACUGCCCGGUAGCUAAAUGCGGAAGAGAUAAGUGCUGAAAGCAUCUAAGCACGAAACUUGCCCCGAGAUGAGUUCUCCCUGACUCCUUGAGAGUCCUGAAGGAACGUUGAAGACGACGACGUUGAUAGGCCGGGUGUGUAAGCGCAGCGAUGCGUUGAGCUAACCGGUACUAAUGAACCGUGAGGCUUAACCUU